RNAcentral lists this ribosomal RNA (497 nucleotides) under uncultured bacterium. RNAcentral's name for it is "partial 16S ribosomal RNA". It matches the Rfam family "Bacterial small subunit ribosomal RNA", at positions 28 to 507 of the family's 1533-position model. The record is from RNAcentral.
GAUGAACGCUGGCGGCGUGCCUAAUACAUGCAAGUCGAGCGAACAGACGAGGAGCUUGCUCCUCUGACGUUAGCGGCGGACGGGUGAGUAACACGUGGAUAACCUACCUAUAAGACUGGGAUAACUUCGGGAAACCGGAGCUAAUACCGGAUAAUAUAUUGAACCGCAUGGUUCAAUAGUGAAAGACGGUUUUGCUGUCACUUAUAGAUGGAUCCGCGCCGCAUUAGCUAGUUGGUAAGGUAACGGCUUACCAAGGCAACGAUGCGUAGCCGACCUGAGAGGGUGAUCGGCCACACUGGAACUGAGACACGGUCCAGACUCCUACGGGAGGCAGCAGUAGGGAAUCUUCCGCAAUGGGCGAAAGCCUGACGGAGCAACGCCGCGUGAGUGAUGAAGGUCUUCGGAUCGUAAAACUCUGUUAUUAGGGAAGAACAAAUGUGUAAGUAACUAUGCACGUCUGGACGGUACCAAAUCAGAAAGCCACGGCUAACUACGUG